Molecule: long non-coding RNA, 1328 nt
Organism: Canis lupus familiaris (dog)
Lineage: Eukaryota; Metazoa; Chordata; Mammalia; Carnivora; Canidae
Exons: 5
Source: RefSeq, a predicted model, not a curated record
GGCGCAGGCGCAGUCGAGGGGCCUGGCCGGCUCCCCCGCCCCAACCCCGGAGUCCCGGGGCUCUGCUCUCCGCCGGGCUCCUGCUGCCGUCGCCGUCCGUCGCCUCUUCCUCCGUCUCCGUCCUGCUGCCUCGCAGGCCUGCUUUCCUCUUGCUCCUCCGGGGAUCUUGGCCUUGCUCCUCUUCUCUCCGGAGCGGGCAGUGACACCCCGACGCCUACCUCCCGCGUGUGUUUUGAGUGUUCUUUCUACCUCAUAAAACUGUGGCAUCCAAGAGCUGGAAGGAGUCUCAAGAAGUCAUUGCCCAUUGGACACGGGACCAGAUAUUGAAACUGUCUUUCCAAGAUUAUUGGAGCCUCCUUGCCAAACUCCAGCUUCUGCCAGAACAAACACACCCAACCAAAAUGGUUUAAAGACCUUAGCAUUCUGAGAAUCUGAAGCAGCCAGAGGGGCUCUUUGUACACCCCGAGCAGAGGCAACAGAGCACCAGCUUGAAGGUGGAAAGCCUGGGGCCUUAUGUGAAACUCAGCCAGCUGUGGAACCUCCCCGGACCUCCCCUGUAACACAGAGCCACUAACUGCCUCAGCUGGACCAUGGCUUUACCGGGAAGAGUCUGGGCCACGGAGGAAAAUAGGACUGGUGGUGGUGUGCCGUGGUGGUGAUGAGUGACACUCCACAGUGGCCCUGGCCAAAUGUCAACCCCACCAAGGAGCAGCGUGGUGAAGCCACAUGGAAAAUGGUGCAGGACAAACCACGUGCAAGAGGCAGCAUCUGUAGCAGGACUCACAGAUGCCCUGGAAGGGAAGGUAGGUCAUGGGACACCUCCUUGGAGACCCUUCUUCUUCUUAAGACUGUCUGUAUGUGUCAGUUCAGCUGUGGUAACAAGCAGUCCCAAAGUCUUAAGGGAUCACAAUGACAACAAACAUUUCUUUCUCACUCACAUCACACGUGGGUGACUGUCACCUAUGGCUCCCGGGGCUUUCUUUGUAUCAUGACUUCCUACUCCAGGGAAGCUGUAGGAGCUGCCCCAUUUGGGUCAGCAGGUACAGUGGUGGAAGCUCUCGCCGAUGCAUGGUAAAGUUGCUGACACCUGGAACAUACUGGCACAUUCAUUCAUAUUCCAUGGGCCUCGUCAGGUCACACGAUCGAGCCCAAAGUCAGUAAGGUGAAAAUAUGUUACUCUCAGCGGGAGGAGGCCAUGGAUACUCUCUGCCUCCCUUCCCAGAGGGGCUUUGACAGCUCAGCAGCCUCCUCUAUGCAAGCUGGGUUUGUUCUAACAAUAUUGUGAAAUAAUAGCAAAUGCAAGAGUAAUAAACAUUCCCUGGCCCCUG